GAUCCUGGCUCAGGAUGAACGCUGGCGGCGUGCUUAACACAUGCAAGUUGCGCGGUGAUCUCAAGAAGUUUCGGACGGAAAGGGAGAGCAGCAGCGGACGGGUGAGUAAAGCACAAGGACUUGUCCCGAAGAGGGGGACAACUGUGGGAAACCACAGCUAAUACCCCAUAGGCCGAGAGGUGAAAGCAGCGAUGCGCUUUAGGAGAGACUUGUGUCCUAUCAGGUAGUUGGUGAGGUAACGGCUCACCAAGCCGAAGACGGGUAGCCGGACUGAGAGGUUGUACGGCCACAUUGGAACUGAGAGACGGUCCAGACUCCUACGGGAGGCAGCAGUGGGGAAUAUUGGGCAAUGGGGGCCAACCCUGACCCAGCGACGCCGCGUGAGGGAAGACAGCCUUCGGGUUGUAAACCUCUGUUGCAGGGGAAGAAGAAAGUGACGGUACCCUGCGAGGAAGCUCCGGCAAACUACGUGCCAGCCGCCGC
Molecule: ribosomal RNA, 483 nt
Filed under: uncultured bacterium
Lineage: Bacteria
Description: bacterial SSU rRNA
Rfam family: Bacterial small subunit ribosomal RNA
Source: RNAcentral